UAUGCCCACUUUUUUUUUUUUAUUUCUUAUUGAUUAUGUAUUUAAUACAAUUGUGUCUAUUUUUCAUAUGGAUGGUGACACCAUUUUUAUGUACUGUAAGCAACAAAUAUAUCAAGAUAACCAUUAAAGUUCAAAAUCAUGAAUAAAAGAAAAGUAAAAAGAAUAAGAAACAGCUAUAUGCUUGAAGAAUAGAAACAGAUCGAGAGGGAUCUGAUUCAUCCACGUGUCAAAGACCCAACACCUCUGGAAAUCUCAUGCACGCCAGGGCUGAACCCCAAGCAACCCAAUAGCCCUUGCUUGUAAGGCAAAAAGGUUUUCCUUUUCAUCUCCUCUGAAACUGCUCUGUUCACCGUGUAGUGUAAUUCGUGAGCCGAUACAGGAGCUCUUCUCCUGGAGGAGCCACCCAGACUGCCAUCUGUGGAUCGAAAACUGGCAUUCUUGACGUCCUCUGCUACCUCCUUUUUGGACAAGACUGCAUAUUUUGUCAGUGGGUCUUUUCCUGUUGCUCUUCCCUCUGAUGCACUUCUGAAUAGCAAGAAAUCCUUGAGUUUCCAUUUCUUAUAACCUUUCGAUGAAAAAGAUAUAGCGGACAAGAAAGAAGAUGCAUAUGAGGAGGUGGAGGAUGAUGAUGAUUUGGGAUUGCUGCUUGUUGGAGUGACUAUUUUCGCAUCCUGGGAAUUCUCCUCUUCUUGAUCGAGCAUGAGAUCGGAGACUCUUAAAGGAGACAAAGAUCUGCUUCCUUUAUGCACAUAAUUCGAAGACUUGGAAGCUGAAGAAGAAGAACCCGGGAUGGUUCUUUCUCUUCCACGUUGCUGUGAUGCAUGCUUUCUUUGUUGCUGUUGUUUUUGUUCCUGAUUUUGUUGCUGUUUAGCUUCACUUCUUCUUGUUUCUUCUAUGGCAGCUUGAAAAGGGUCAAAUUCUUUCUUCUGUUUAGUUCUUGAUCUUGGUGACCUGGGAGAAGAAACUGAAGAAUCAUAACCAGGCGGUGGCUUCAAAGGCCGGAUCUUGCCUCCAUCGAAGAGCUCAUCAGCAGAUAAAGAAGUCCUGUCUAACUGACCACUAAAACUGAACUCAAAAUCACCAUCAUCAUCAAAAUCUUGAUGACUAUAACCAUUCUUGCGGCUGAAAUUACCUUCACUUCCAUUUCUUGAUUUGGGAGUUCCAGGCUUCGCUUCCCAAUCAAAAGGAAUGGAAGAAGAAGAAUUAGUGACAAGAGAAACAUCAUUAAGCUCCCGGUAGAAAGAUGAAACACGAGUGGGGCUAGCAGGGGCACUGAAGAAGAAGUUGCCAAAUCUCUGAGGACUGGAAGGAGCAGUCGCGUAAGGAGAAGAACAAGUACUAUCAAAGUUGAACUCUACCGGCGGCACUGGCGCCACCACUUCCAUUUCCAUUGAAAGGAGGGUGACGAAUUUGUAUGGAUUGUGCAGGUGAGGGAUUGGUUGAAUAGUGGAGUUUAUAGAGAGAGGAGGAGGAGGAAGGAGGGUGGAGAGGGAUAGAGUGGUGGUGAUGAUGAUGGUUAUGGUUGAGAUUGAGAUGAGAAUUUAGCGCGAAACGCGAGAACCACGCGGAUUUUGGAGAAAAU
This 1582-nucleotide unclassified non-coding RNA is filed under the name Hevea brasiliensis (rubber tree). The record is from RNAcentral. Lineage: Eukaryota; Viridiplantae; Streptophyta; Magnoliopsida; Malpighiales; Euphorbiaceae.